GGUUUUAAAAGGAUUCAUUGGUUUGAGAUGGACCCGCGUCUGAUUAGCCAGUUGUGGGGUAACGGCCUACCAAAGCGACGAUCAGUAGCCGACCUGAGAGGGUGAUCGGCCACAUUGGGACUGAGACACGGCCCAAACUCCUACGGGAGGCAGCAGUGGGGAAUAUUGCGCAAUGGGGAAACCCUGACGCAGCAACGCCGCGUGAGUGAGGAAGUAUUUCGGUAUGUAAAGCUCUAUCAGCGGGGACGAAGAUGACGGUACCCGCAGAAGAAGUCCCGGCUAACUACGUGCC
This 292-nucleotide ribosomal RNA is filed under the name uncultured bacterium. RNAcentral's name for it is "partial 16S ribosomal RNA". It matches the Rfam family "Bacterial small subunit ribosomal RNA", at positions 198 to 509 of the family's 1533-position model. The record is from RNAcentral.